This is a long non-coding RNA of Cannabis sativa, 1576 nucleotides long. RefSeq lists it as uncharacterized. The transcript has 2 exons. The record is from RefSeq and is a predicted model, not a curated record. Lineage: Eukaryota; Viridiplantae; Streptophyta; Magnoliopsida; Rosales; Cannabaceae.
AUUAUUUGUUACUAAUAUUAAAUAUGAAAGUCAUGACUGUAGAAGACAUAUCCAUACACAGAAGAGUAUAUAUUUAUGCGUUAUUUAUAUAUAUAUAUCUUCUUAUCUGAUAUGUGAUUUAGUUUGUUAAAUAUGUGUUUUGUAGCUUUUCUCUACAAAUUCGAAGCUAUAAUCUUACAUUAAUAGGAUAAUUUGUGCUAGAUAGUUACUUUUGCAAAGACUUUAGGGGAACAAUAGUUUAUCCAUAAUAUAUAGAAAUAAAGCCAUAUAUUUGGCUGUUAAAUCGUAAAUAGAUUGACAGUACUGGUGUUUGCUAUUCCCUUCCAUGUCGAAAGAUGUAUAUAUAAUUCUCUGAAGAAGAUAUAAUGUCAAGAUUAAUAAUUUUAUAGAUUAUGUUAUUAACUGCAUUGCUUGUUUGAGAGAUGUAAUUUUUUUUAUUAAAAAUGUUUUCACUUUCUAAACAGGCACUCUUUUAGUAGCAAAAGAAUUAUAAUGUUGUGAAUUUAACAGCAUUAUAUGGAUCAACAUUUCAAGAAUAUUUUUCAGAGAUCCAUAAUAAUCAUUGUUGUAUUUAUUUAUUUAUUUGUUUAUUGACCCUUUAUUGUAGUUGUUAUGGAUUUGAAAACUAACUUAUUAUAUCACUACAGAAGAAAAAUUAAACUGGUGUUCUGCCAAUAUUACAAAGUAGCAUAUGAUUUGGCUUUCAAUUUUAUGUCAAGGAUUUCAUGUGGAACAAAUUAACUAGUAUAUACACAAGGAGAUAGGCAACAUAUCAUUUUUCUUUCAGGUGAGAUUAUGUUAUAGUAUAUAUGUUGUGUAAUUUAUGUUUAAUUCCUCUUGCUGUUGUGGAUCCCUUUCUGCUGCAAGACAAUGCAGAGUGGAAUUUCGAUAAAUAAAUUAUAGUGACAUUUUAUGUUUUGCUGCUGAUUCUUAUAUUUGGUCUAGUUGUUGUCUAGUGUUUUGUCUUUUGGAUAGUCCUUUUGUCUUGAGCAUGUUAUCCCCAUUAGGUAAGUAUUUAUUUUUUCUUUAUUUUAUUGUGACAUGUUCUUAGACGUAGUUUUGAAUUUCGAAAGAAUUAGUAGAUAUAUUUUGAUUUUGCUCAUUAAUAGCCAUACAAUUAUUACUUGUUUUUAUUUGUAGUGACAAUUGAAAAUUAUGAUAUGUUCUUGGUGGAAGGGCUCUUCAACACCUUCCCUCGAGAGACUUUGACAAUAGAGAUAUAGUAUGGUUGAUGUGCUUAGAGAUCAUCUUUCAAUCUGGUUCCCAAAGGACAGUUCAAGCUCUACUAGCAUCACACAACUGAGAUCAUGCCUUUUAGAUAAUCUUCGAAGAGUUUGAGGGGUGUGUGCUUCCAACUUCCGAGUUGGAGCUAGAUUAGGGGCUUCUCAUUUUUUUUUUUAGUUGCUAGUUUUCUUUGUUUUUUAUUUUUUGUGUAGUUUGGUUUACAACUUUGAUUCAUGGAGUUUGCUUUUGUAGUUUCUGGUUUAGAUUUUGUAUAUUUCAAGAUAGGCAAGAAUUACAUUGUAAUUGUAACUUUUAUGUAAUGAAUAAAUGCCUUUAAUAUUAUUUAAAUAUA